UCCAGACUCCUACGGGAGGCAGCAGUGAGGAAUAUUGGUCAAUGGCCGAGAGGCUGAACCAGCCAAGUCGCGUGAGGGAAGACGGUCCUAUGGAUUGUAAACCUCUUUUGUCGGGGAGUAAAAGACGCCACGCGUGGCGUUCCGAGAGUACCCGAAGAAAAAGCAUCGGCUAACUCCGUGCCAGCAGCCGCGGUAAUACGGAGGAUGCGAGCGUUAUCCGGAUUUAUUGGGUUUAAAGGGUGCGCAGGCGGAAGAUCAGGUCAGGGGUAAAAUUGAGAGGCUCAACCUCGUCGAGCCGUUGAAACUGGGUGCCUUGAGUGGGCGAGAAGUACGCGGAAUGCGUGGUGUAGCGGUGAAAUGCAUAGAUAUCACGCAGAACUCCGAUUGCGAAGGCAGCGUACCGGCGCCCAACUGACGCUGAAGCACGAAGGCGUGGGUAUCGAACAGGAUUAGAUACCCCGGUAU
Molecule: ribosomal RNA, 465 nt
Filed under: uncultured bacterium
Lineage: Bacteria
Description: bacterial SSU rRNA
Rfam family: Bacterial small subunit ribosomal RNA
Source: RNAcentral